Molecule: ribosomal RNA, 467 nt
Filed under: uncultured bacterium
Lineage: Bacteria
Description: bacterial SSU rRNA
Rfam family: Bacterial small subunit ribosomal RNA
Source: RNAcentral
AGGACGAACGCUGGCGGCGUGCUUAACACAUGCAAGUCGAACGGUGACGGAGAGCUUGCUCUCCUGAUCAGUGGCGAACGGGUGAGUAACACGUGGGCAAUCUGCCCCUGACUUCGGGAUAACGCUUCGAAAGAGGUGCUAAUACCGAAUACGAAUCCUGCAGGCAUCUGCGGGAUUGGAAAGUUUUUCGGUCAAGGAUGAGCUCGCGGCCUAUCAGCUAGUUGGUGAGGUAAUGGCUCACCAAGGCGACGACGGGUAGCCGGCCUGAGAGGGUGACCGGCCACACUGGAACUGAGACACGGUCCAGACUCCUACGGGAGGCAGCAGUGGGGAAUAUUGCACAAUGGACGAAAGUCUGAUGCAGCAACGCCGCGUGAGGGAUGAAGGCCUUCGGGUUGUAAACCUCUUUUAGCAGGGAAGAAGCGAAAGUGACGGUACCUGCAGAAAAAGCACCGGCUAACUACGUG